GCCUGGCCAAUCAAGGUUCCGGACCAGAUUCCAAACGAUGAUUUUGGAUCAGAGAAUCGCCGGGGUGUCGUAUUCGCAAGGCGUGCCGGUUCGAUUCCGGCCCUGGGCACCA
This 112-nucleotide transfer RNA is filed under the name Pandoraea vervacti. RNAcentral's name for it is "tRNA-Und (NNN) (tRNA-Und-NNN-2-1)". Lineage: Bacteria; Pseudomonadati; Pseudomonadota; Betaproteobacteria; Burkholderiales; Burkholderiaceae. The record is from RNAcentral.